GACGAACGCUGGCGGCGUGCUUAACACAUGCAAGUCGAACGGAAAGGCCCUGCUUUUGUGGGGUUCUCGAGUGGCGAACGGGUGAGUAACACGUGAGUAACCUGCCCUUGACUUUGGGAUAACUUCAGGAGACUGGGGCUAAUACCGCAGAGGAGCUCCUGCUGCGUGGUGUGGGUUGGAAAGUUUCGGCGGUUGGGGAUGGCCUCGCGGGUUAUGCGCUUGCUGGUCGGGUAGGGGCUUACCAAGGUUUUGACGGGUAGCCGGCCUUUGCGGGGGAACGGCGACAUUGGGACUGAGAUACGGCCCAGACUCCUACGGGAGGCAGCAGUGGGGAAUAUUGCACAAUAGGCGGAAGCCUGAUACAGCAACGCCGCGUGCGGAAUGACGGCCUUCGGGUUGUAAACAGCUUUCGCCUGUGACGAAGCGUGAGUGACGGUAAUGGGUAAAGAAGCACCGGCUAACUACGUG
Molecule: ribosomal RNA, 468 nt
Filed under: uncultured bacterium
Lineage: Bacteria
Description: partial 16S ribosomal RNA
Rfam family: Bacterial small subunit ribosomal RNA
Source: RNAcentral